This 213-nucleotide unclassified non-coding RNA is filed under the name Hevea brasiliensis (rubber tree). The record is from RNAcentral. Lineage: Eukaryota; Viridiplantae; Streptophyta; Magnoliopsida; Malpighiales; Euphorbiaceae.
CGGUCUUCAAGUCCCUACUACUAGUGGACCAGAGAGCCGCGCUACGCACCUUAUGUGCCAGUUCAUCCUCGUAUAAUGACAAAGCCAGGAAAGAAGAGCUAACCGUUCAACUCCUACUCUUAUUCCUAGUCCUCCCAUUAAGAAAAGAGUACGAGAGGUAAAAAGCAAGGUCUUGCAAAGAUAAAUCCCCCUACACCUCUUCCUAACAAGAGA